This 253-nucleotide ribosomal RNA is filed under the name uncultured bacterium. RNAcentral's name for it is "partial 16S ribosomal RNA". It matches the Rfam family "Bacterial small subunit ribosomal RNA", at positions 524 to 776 of the family's 1533-position model. The record is from RNAcentral.
UACGUAGGGAGCAAGCGUUGUCCGGAUUCACUGGGUGUAAAGGGUGCGCAGGCGGACUUGUAAGUCAGGGGUGAAAUCUUACGGCUUAACCGUGAAACUGCCUUUGAUACUGCAGGUCUUGAGUUCGGGAGAGGUUGAUGGAAUUCCAGGUGUAGCGGUGAAAUGCGCAGAUAUCGGGAGGAACACCAGUAGCGAAGGCGGCUCGCUGGGCCACACCUGACGCUGAGACGCGAAAGCUAGGGGAGCGAACAGG